RNAcentral lists this ribosomal RNA (344 nucleotides) under uncultured Verrucomicrobiota bacterium. Its description in RNAcentral is "bacterial SSU rRNA". It matches the Rfam family "Bacterial small subunit ribosomal RNA", at positions 29 to 351 of the family's 1533-position model. Lineage: Bacteria; Pseudomonadati; Verrucomicrobiota. The record is from RNAcentral.
AACGAACGCUGGCGGCGUGGAUAAGACAUGCAAGUCGAGCGCUGAUUACGGGGUAGCAAUAUUCCGUGGUCGGAGCGGCGCAAGGGUGCGUAACACGUGGGUAAUCUGCCAUGAAGUUUGGAAUAACUCGCUGAAAGGCGAGCUAAUGCCGGAUGUGAAAGCUGGGAGGCAUCUCCCGGUUUUCAAAGCUGGGGACCGUAAGGCCUGGCGCUUCAUGAUGAGCCCGCGGCCUAUCAGCUAGUUGGUAAGGUAACGGCUUACCAAGGCUAAGACGGGUAGCUGGUCUGAGAGGACGACCAGCCACACUGGAACUGAGACACGGUCCAGACACCUACGGGUGGCUG